Macaca mulatta (Rhesus monkey) is the source of this 540-nucleotide non-coding RNA. Lineage: Eukaryota; Metazoa; Chordata; Mammalia; Primates; Cercopithecidae. The record is from RefSeq and is a predicted model, not a curated record.
AUGGCUCGUGGACAGCAGAAAAUUUCAGUUUCAGCAGAAAAAUGCCAAAAAGCAAGCUGGACAAAAGAAGAAACAAGGACAUGACCAAAAGGCUGCUGCCAAAGCUGCCUUAAUAUAUACCUGCAGUGUCUGUAGGACACAAAUGCCAGACCCUAAGACCUUCAAGCAGCACUUUGAGAGCAAGCAUCCUAAGACUCCACUUACUCCAGAAUUAGCUGAUGUUCAGGCAUAAGGUUGUUUACAGGUGAAUUCAUGACACCUUUGACUCUUCUACUGUCUCAGACCUUAGGUAACAUACCUGCAGCUGCUUUUCUAACAAAUUGUUGAUCAGCAAAAAUAAAGGGGCUACAGAAACACUCAUUUUUAUGCUGUUCCCUUUUGGGCUUCAUGCAAAGACAAUUCUGUGUAAAUGUACAGUUGACUCUGAUUUGGAAAUCUGAAAAUCAGUCCAUCCUUGUUAUAAAAAAUUUUUUUACAACUGUAAUUAUAUUGAUGCUCAUGUUGUAUAAAAUAACUCAUUUAAUAAAAUAGUACUUUGAU